CCAUCAUCUUGUGUAGAACCCAAAUUCAAAUCUGACACUCCAUGACUUAAUUGUUCAACAGCAGGGCUAGAGACAUUUGAGAACCCUUUUCCCUUAAAUGAUGGACCAGAAGGACCAGUACUGGAAGGAUUCGAACCCCAUUUUCCCGAACUCAUCUUCCUAUAAAGUCUCUGAACAGAUCAAAUUACAGUGAGAACAAGAUAUAUAGUAAACAUUAUUCCAACACACAAACAACUCCAUCACACCGAAAUGUUACAUAAAUUACUAAAAUUUAAAAAUUCUCGUAGUUCCCUAAUUUAGUUUCCAUGCUGUUUAAUUUUAGAAGACAGAUGUAGAAUACAACUCAUAGGACUUAAUAUGCAUGAAAAGAUUCCACUGCAUUGGAUAUUUCAAUAUAGUGUUAGAUCGAAUGAAGUGGCAAAAAGAGAUUAAUGUAUAAUGUAUCCAACCCUGCAGUGAUCUUGAAUAGGAAUCCUACAGCGAUAAAUAGAAUCCCCAUAAAAUACCACUAGAGAGCACCAGUGAUUUGUAUCCUGUCAAAGUCUUGGUACAUUUAUCAAAGUAGGUAGCACCAGUAGACUCAGAAUGGCUACCACUUAGCUCCCCACUUGCUUCGGACCAUUACCGAAUGGUCCUAUGCUUCACGGGGAGUGCAAGGCUCACUCUUCGGGUCUGCUUUCCUCGGGCUCCUUUUUUGGAAUACACCGAGAGAAGCAGGCCCUAGAUUGAAAUGGAAAAAUCUCAAAGUUAGGCAAGACUUCUAUUAGUCGGUGAAAUGCCAAAAGAGACUCAUUAAAACUGAAUGCAGAAUUAUGCAAAGUAAUUAUCAAUAUAACAAAUGGAAAAGAGUACAUCAAACAGAUUAAAACAGUAUAUGCAUCAAAAUGCCCCCGUCAAAACUUUUUCUAUAAUGGAAAUGGUUUCAGAAGAAAGUAUUUAAUAAAUCAGUCAUUAGACUCCUUGUAGGCAGGGCAUUGAUGAGAAAUUGAAACUAAAGAAAAAUUAUUUCCGUCAGCCUUUUUGUCCUUCUAAAACAGAAACUACGGUGAAAAAUUAUUCAGGUAUAUAGAUGAAAAACAUAAAAAAUGAAAGGAAAAUUAUGUAAAAACUAGAGAGAUUCUCUCCAUCACUUGUAAUCUUAAC
RNAcentral lists this long non-coding RNA (1143 nucleotides) under Olea europaea (common olive). RNAcentral's name for it is "long non-coding RNA (OEUR_LNC012151)". Lineage: Eukaryota; Viridiplantae; Streptophyta; Magnoliopsida; Lamiales; Oleaceae. The record is from RNAcentral.